UCUCUCUCGCGGAUGAAAACGACGGCGAGGUGGCAGAUGAAAAUGCCGGCGAGGUUGCUGUUAUUAUCUUCUUCAAGUCUGGCAAGCUCUUUGAGUUCUCCAGUACUAGGAACAGUUGUUGACAAUCGAACUUGAAGAAUCACACCUCAAGGGACAGCGGGCAGAGUUGUAAGUUUGUAGACAGUAAGUUUUGCUUUUAAAAUUGGUCGAAGUUGAAGUCAGUGUAGCGACAUAGUAGCUUAAGUAGGUGAAUCAGUUUGAUUU
Molecule: long non-coding RNA, 264 nt
Organism: Camelina sativa (false flax)
Lineage: Eukaryota; Viridiplantae; Streptophyta; Magnoliopsida; Brassicales; Brassicaceae
Source: RefSeq, a predicted model, not a curated record